AUUGAACGCUGGCGGCAUGCCUUACACAUGCAAGUCGAACGGCAGCAUGAUCUAGCUUGCUAGAUUGAUGGCGAGUGGCGAACGGGUGAGUAAUACAUAGGCACGUGUCCUGUAGUGGGGGAUAACUAGACGAAAGAUCAGCUAAUACCGCAUACGACCUGAGGGUGAAAGUGGGGGACCGCAAGGCCUCAUGCUUUAGGAGCGGCCGAUGUCUGAUUAGCUAGUGGGUGAGGUAAAGGCUCACCAAGGCGACGAUCAGUAGCUGGUCUGAGAGGACGAUCAGCCACACUGGGACUGAGACACGGCCCAGACUCCUACGGGAGGCAGCAGUGGGGAAUUUUGGACAAUGGGCGAAAGCCUGAUCCAGCAAUGCCGCGUGUGUGAAGAAGGCCUUCGGGUUGUAAAGCACUUUUGUCCGGAAAGAAAUGGCUCUGGUUAAUACCUGGGGUCGAUGACGGUACCGGAAGAAUAAGGACCGGCUAACUACGUG
Molecule: ribosomal RNA, 490 nt
Filed under: uncultured bacterium
Lineage: Bacteria
Description: partial 16S ribosomal RNA
Rfam family: Bacterial small subunit ribosomal RNA
Source: RNAcentral